Pteropus alecto (black flying fox) is the source of this 2491-nucleotide long non-coding RNA. RefSeq lists it as uncharacterized. The transcript is spliced from 2 exons. Lineage: Eukaryota; Metazoa; Chordata; Mammalia; Chiroptera; Pteropodidae. The record is from RefSeq and is a predicted model, not a curated record.
CUGGAAGAAUGGAGUAAAGGAUUAAAGAAGUACAAAUUAGUAGUUGAUAGUUGGGCACGGGGAGCAUGGCGCAGGGAAUGCAGCUAGCAUUAAUACGAUGGCUAAGUGGAGGGCCAGGGGAGGGAGGGAGCAAUUGGGGGGCAUUGUUUUAUGAACAGUAUAGAUCUCUAUCCAAUAUACUGUAUACUUGAAACUAAUUUAAGUAAUAAAUUUAUUUAAAAUAAAAACAACAACAAUGAAAAAACAUGCCAAUUGCAAGAGGCUACAUGCUGCAUGGUUCCAUUUAUAAUAUCUAUGAAUGGACGUCAUUAUAGAGGUGGAGCAUAGAGCUUGCCAGGGGUUAGGAAUGGGUUGCAGAGGGUGGCUGUACAGAAGUGUCUUGUGGUGAUGGUACAGUUAAGUAUCUUGAUUAUGGUGGUGGUUACAUGAAGCUACACAUGAUAAAAUUGCAUAAAGCUAUAUACACACAUGUAAACAAAUGCAUGUAUAAGUGGUAAAAUCUGAGUGACCUCUGUGGAUUACACUAAUGUCGAUUUCUCGAUUUUGAUAUUAAACUAUAGUUAUGCAAAAUAUUAACAUCGAGGGAGGCCGGAUGACUCGAUAAUUAUUUUGAAAUUGAAAAAAAAAAAAAGAGUGCUGGAUUGCCAGACUGGACACCUGAGUUUCUGGGUCUAGUUCAGGUUCUUUCCUUAACUCGCCUGAGGCAAUUCCACUGCUAUCUCUGGGACACUAUUAGCCCAUCUGUGAAAUGGGAAUUUUGGCUUAUGUCACUGGCUUUCAAAGUUUAAUCUUUAACAGUGAAACCCUCUGUUCCAAAGAAAUCUUACACUGAUGUAGACACUGUCAGCACCCCGAUAUUGUGAACCCCAGUGGGACUUCUGCCAGUACCUGUAACACUUUGCUGGAGGGCUAUACCUAAAACCAGUCCUCACUCCUUGGGCAGGACAACUGGGACACUGGCUCCCAGAGGUCCCCAGCUGACGACGGCGGAAACUGGCUUGGGAGCGUAUGCUUUAUCCAUUGUCUUCUCUCUGAGUCUCAUUUUCCCACUCCUCCUCUACCCGAGUUGCUUGGGAGCAUCAUCCAAAUAAACAACCUGUAUUCAGGUCCUUGUCUCAGGCCCUGCUUCCGCUUCCAACCAAAUUAGAAUCCCCAAAUGCGAAGCAAAUAACAGCCGUGGUCCCAGGAGGCAGGAGGGCCAGUGAGAGCUGUGCCAUGCGGGGACCUUCCUGGAGGGGUGGGCCUGCACAUGGACCUUGAGCGAUAAGUAGAUUUUGAAAAGGAAGACAGUAAAUAGGAAGGCACAACUGGAGAUGGAACUUCAUGAACCAAGACAGCAGGAGAUGAGACCCUGCUGUCCCCAUCCUCCGUGCUGACCAAGUCACUUUUAGUGGCAGCUCUCACCAUAUCUUUCCUUUUCACUCAAGACCAUGUUCCUCUUUUGACCAAGAAAGUGACCCAAAAGGGAUCGUGGUCACUUCCUUAUCGGGCCUGUGGUGGAGGCAGAGGACACGCACUAGGCCCUUUCCCAGCUCCCGCGGCCCCAAGCCACUUCUCCAAUGAGGAUUCCCAAGUCCCACUGGGGGCCACUGCAGGGCACCUCCCAAACUCCAAGUCAGAUGAAGGAGCCCCGAGCAGUGUGCUGAGGUUAUACCCUAAUGCCCGCUGAGCAGCGCGGUCCCAGGAGAGAGAACUGGGAAGGGAGUCCAGCUGCCCACUGUAGCGUGACCUCACGCAAACAUCUUCAUCCUUCUGAACUUCUAUCUCUUCAACAGUAUCCGCAUACCAGGAUCAUGGGACAGGAUAUGUGAAAGGGCUUCAUAAACCACAAACCAUAAACAGCCGUACUGUUCAGCUGUGAGUUACCAUUCUGAAGAGAGCAAAACUCUGUCCUCAUUCCACACUGUGUCCCAACACCUGGCACACUGCGUGACACCUGGAAGGGGCUCCGUUAAAUGCUUGCUUGCUGAAUGAACGAAUGAAUAAAUGGAUGAGCUUGGAUAUGUUAUCUAGUUCAACAAUUCGACCAACAAAGUACUGCUAAGGGCAUGUUAUGUGCCAGGAGCUGGGCUGGCCAUGGAGGAAAAUCACAAAUCAGAGAUGAGAUUUCCUACUCUUAAGAGCUUAUGGCAUCAGAGAGGAGCAACCCCUUUUCAAGGCCCGUAAUCUUCUUGCAAGGAGGCUCUGUCUUCCUUGCUGGCGUUGAUGAAGCAAGCAACCAAGUUGGGGAGCCCAUGUGGCAAGGAACUGAGGGAGGUCUCCCACUGACAACCAGCAAGAAGACCUUCAGGCUGACAACAGAAACAAACUGAAUUCUGCCAACAACUGUGUGAGCUUGGAAGUGGAUCCUUCCCCAGUCUGGCCUCAGAUGAGACUGAAGGCCCAGCAAACACUUUGUCCCUCUGUGAGACCCUGAGCAGAGGACUGAAAUAAGCACUGCCCAUAUUCCUGACCCACAAAAAUGGUGAGAUCAUAAAUGUUUGUGGUUUAA